CAAUAGCCCCGAUAGCAGUGGAAAUCCUUUGCGUUGGCGUUAGCCAAAAGCAACGGAUUGUAACGAAUAGCGGGAGGGAAG
This 81-nucleotide small RNA is filed under the name Flavobacterium gillisiae. Its description in RNAcentral is "Flavo-1 RNA". It matches the Rfam family "Flavo-1 RNA". The record is from RNAcentral. Lineage: Bacteria; Pseudomonadati; Bacteroidota; Flavobacteriia; Flavobacteriales; Flavobacteriaceae.